AAAUUGGGAUUGGAGGAGAUUAAAGUUGAGAAAAAUCCACCAAAGUUGGGUUUUUGUCACCAAAAUCAAAGAGAACUUCCUAAAGAUGGACUUUAAGGUCAUUAAAGUUAUGGAAAAUGGGACAAAAUUGGGGUUUUGUCGUUAAAAUUAUGGAUAAUUUUCCAAAGUUGGAUUUUGAGGUCAUCGAAGUCAUGGAGAACCUUCAAAAGUUGGACUUUUGGAUCAUUAAAGUUGAAGGAAAUUCACCAGAGUUGGGUUUUUAUCUCCAAAAUGGAGAAGAAUCUCCCAAAAAUUGACUUUGAGGUCAUUGAAGUUGUGGAAAACUGCCCAAAAUUGGGGUUUUGUCACCAAAAUCAUGGAGAAUUUUCUAAGAAUGGACUUUGAGGAGAUUAAAGUUGAGGAAAAUUCACCAAAGUUGGGUUUUUGUCACCAAAAUCACGGAGAACGUCCCAAAAAUGGACUUUGAGAUCAUGGAGGUCAAGGCCAACGCCCAACUGACCAUUGGUCACUCUGGUGGUCACGGUCAAGGAGAACCCACCAAAGUGACCAUUGGUCAUCAUGAGGUCAAGAAGAACCAAAAGUGGACAUUUGACCAUCAGAGGGUCAACAUCAAGGUCAAGGUCAAACCCCAACUGACCAUUGGUCACUCUCACGGUCGAGAAGAACCAAAAGUGGACAUUUGACCAUUGGAGGGGUCACACUCAAGGUCACGGCCAAACCCCCAACUGACCAUUGGUCACUCUCGUGGUCGAGAAGAACCAAAAGUGGACAUUUGACCAUCAUCGGGUCAAACUCAAGGUCAAGGUCAAACUCCAACUGACCAUUGGUCAUCGUGAGGUCAAGAAGAACCAAAAGUGGCCAUUUGACCAUUGGAGGGGUCAAACUCAAGGUCACGGCCAAACCCCAACUGACCAUUGGUCACUCUCGUGGUCACAGUCAAGAUGAACUCACCAAAGUGACCAUUGGUCAUCGUGGAGGUCAAGAAGAACCAAAAGUGGCCAUUGGUCAUCAAAGCAAAGGAGAAAACCCAAAAGUGACCAUUGGUCACUCUCGUGGUCACGGUGAAACCCCAACUGACCAUUGGUCACUUUGGUGGUCAAGAAGAGCCAAAAGUGGACAUUUGACCAUCGUUGGGUCACGGUCAACACCCAACUGACCAUUGGUCACUCUCGUGGUCAAGAAGAGCCAAAAGUGGACAUUUGACCAUCGUGGGGUCAAACUCAAGGUCAAGGUCAAACCCCCAACUGACCAUUGGUCACUCUCGUGGUCAAGAAGAACCAAAAGUGGCCAUUGGUCACUCUCAAGGUCA
Long non-coding RNA from Malurus melanocephalus (red-backed fairy wren), 1309 nucleotides. RefSeq lists it as uncharacterized. NCBI's taxonomy places the organism in Eukaryota, Metazoa, Chordata, Aves, Passeriformes, Maluridae. The transcript is spliced from 5 exons. The record is from RefSeq and is a predicted model, not a curated record.